GAUGAAGAACGUAGCGAAAUGCGAUAAGUAAUGUGAAUUGCAGAAUUCAGUGAAUCAUCGAAUCUUUGAUCGCACAUUGCGCCCAUUAGUAUUCUAGUGGGCAUGCCUGUUCGAGCGUCAUUAAGUCCACUUAAGCCCUGCUUAGUGUUGGGAGACUGCUCCAGCGGUGCUACCCUGUAGCUACCCUGCAGCUCCUCAAAGACAGCGGCGGAGUUGUGGUAUCCUCUGAGCUUAGUAACUUGUUCUAGCUUUCGAGUACACCACUUCCCCUGCCGUAAAACCCUUAAUUUUUAAUGGUUGACCUCGGAUCAGGUAGGAAUACCCGCUGAACUUAAGCAUAUCAAUAAGCGGAGGA
Molecule: unclassified non-coding RNA, 355 nt
Filed under: soil metagenome
Description: partial contains 5.8S ribosomal RNA, internal transcribed spacer 2, and large subunit ribosomal RNA
Rfam family: 5.8S ribosomal RNA (bases 1-120)
Source: RNAcentral